Molecule: unclassified non-coding RNA, 316 nt
Filed under: plant metagenome
Description: partial contains 5.8S ribosomal RNA, internal transcribed spacer 2, and large subunit ribosomal RNA
Rfam family: 5.8S ribosomal RNA (bases 1-105)
Source: RNAcentral
GAAAUGCGAUAACUAGUGUGAAUUGCAGAAUUCCGUGAAUCAUCGAGUCUUUGAACGCACAUUGCGCCCCCUGGUAUUCCGGGGGGCAUGCCUGUCCGGGCGUCAUUGCUGCCCAUCAAGCACGGCUUGUGUGUUGGGUCGUCGUCCCCUCUCCGGGGGGGACGGGCCCCAAAGGCAGCGGCGGCACCGCGUCCGAUCCUCGAGCGUAUGGGGCUUUGUCACCCGCUCUGUAGGCCCGGCCGGCGCUUGCCGAACGCAAAUCAAUCUUUUUCCAGGUUGACCUCGGAUCAGGUAGGGAUACCCGCUGAACUUAAGC